This 632-nucleotide ribosomal RNA is filed under the name uncultured bacterium. Its description in RNAcentral is "bacterial SSU rRNA". It matches the Rfam family "Bacterial small subunit ribosomal RNA", at positions 21 to 652 of the family's 1533-position model. The record is from RNAcentral.
GGCUCAGAUUGAACGCUGGCGGUAUGCCUUACACAUGCAAGUCGAACGGUAGAGGAGCAAUCCUCGAGAGUGGCGAACGGGUGAGUAAUACAUCGGAACGUGCCCAGUCGUGGGGGAUAACGUAGCGAAAGCUACGCUAAUACCGCAUACGACCCGAGGGUGAAAGCGGGGGACUCGCAAGAGCCUCGCGCGAUCGGAGCGGCCGAUGGCAGAUUAGGUAGUUGGUGGGGUAAAGGCCCACCAAGCCUGCGAUCUGUAGCUGGUCUGAGAGGACGACCAGCCACACUGGGACUGAGACACGGCCCAGACUCCUACGGGAGGCAGCAGUGGGGAAUUUUGGACAAUGGGCGAAAGCCUGGUCCAGCCAUACCGCGUGCGGGAAGAAGGCCUUCGGGUUGUAAACCGCUUUUGUCGGGGAAGAAAUACUUCGGGCUAAUACCCUGGGGUGAUGGCGGUACCUGAAGAAUAAGCACCGGCUAACUACGUGCCAGCAGCCGCGGUAAUACGUAGGGUGCAAGCGUUAAUCGGAAUUACUGGGCGUAAAGCGUGCGCAGGCGGUUCUAUAAGACAGAUGUGAAAUCCCCGGGCUCAACCUGGGAACUGCAUUUGUGACUGUAGAGCUAGAGUACGGU